UUUUUUUUUUUUUUUUUUUUUUUUUUUGUC
Molecule: non-coding RNA, 30 nt
Filed under: Prorocentrum micans
Lineage: Eukaryota; Dinophyceae; Prorocentrales; Prorocentraceae
Source: RNAcentral